CAUACUUUGGGUAAGUGAGAUGGAAACUCUCUUCUUCCUUUCUUUGUCAUUUCACUUAAUUAUGUUAUGUAAGUUGAUCAUCGAAAAGGUGCUACAUUUAUCAUUCUUUCAUUAAAUUUAUUCCUCUUAUUUUAUUAGAGCUUAGUUUUUCGUGUUUCAUAUCAUACGUAGCUAGCUACAAUCUUUGGAAGAAAAUUAUUAUAGAUAAUAAUGGUCAUAUCUAAGUAUGUUGAUUACCUAAUGUUUUAUUGAAUCCAUGUUAGUAAUGUUUAGGUACACUUCUUAAAUUUAGAGCAAGAGUUCCUUGAUAUGUCAUAUACCAUCAGAUGCUAUAUUAUUUUAAUUAGUGUUACAUAAUUCAACAUAUCUUAUUUUCCAAAACAAAUAACUAAAAGUUAAAUGAAAAGAGUUAGUUGUCACCCUUGUAUUUGUAUAGAGAAACAUAUAUUUAGAUAUUUUAGUCUAGAAGAUUAUAUUUGAAAUCCUUCUUUUCAUUUAUUUUUGGAUGCAAAAGUAAGCUUUAUAUAGAAACAUAUUAAUCAAUACAAGAUUUAUCAUAUUUAUAAAAAUAUAAUGUGAUAAAUAUUUAUAUCGACAUGAUAUUAGACUUAUAUAAAUUUUAGAUCAUAAUAGAAGACAAACGUGCAGCGCACGUUUUCAGAACUAGUCUAGUAUAGGUAGGAAUUGAGAUAAUUUGCUCCAGAAAGUUGAUUGUUUAAUAUGUAUCAGCAGGAUGUUUAUAGCAAUUCAUUUAUGAUCUUGUGACAAAUAUCAGUCUUCAUCUUAGUUGGCUAUUACGACACACUUUUCUUGUCUAUUAACAUAUGUUCUCUCUCACAUCUUGUAGACUGAAAUAUCUCCACCAUAGAAGUCGAUGGAGAAUACAUUUAAUGAUUAAAGCGAAUGAUGCUCUCACAAAUGUAAGUUUUUCUUUGUCCUCAGAAGCUUUCUAUUUUUGUUUACUUCCCUUUGCUUUUCCUUUGUUAAGAUCUUCUUGAGCAGUAUGGAGUAUUUAUUGCCACUAUGAAGUCGAGAAAUCAUCUUCAGUUCGAGAUAAAUUUAAUUUUAGAUAACCAAUAAAAAAACAAAGGUGAAAAAAUCUUUAUAUUCGUGUGGGAACACUGUAAAAUGAAAUCUAAUAUACAUAGGAAUUAAAAUAAUCUGCUCCACAAAAUCUUGUUCUUUCCGUUUCAGUGAGUUUAGAGUUAUGCACAUGUUCACUAUUGAAUUCAAAGCUUUAAUAGAAUUCAAAGGUGUACAAUACACAAGGUUUGUUUCCUAUCUAUCAAAAAUAUAUAAAAGUUUGCCUCCCAAUAAAUUUAAUACCUAUAAACAUCAGCACUAUUCAAGUUUUUAUUAAUGAUUAUUGGAUAUCAACUUAGCAGUUUUUUUCUUUGUCAGGAUUUUGGUAACAGUAUAUGUAAGCUAUUACCGCUCUAGCUCAGUUUGUACCAGGAAAGUUCUGCUGCAAUUCUCUAUUGAAUAGACCGUUGCUACAAUGUGGUCUGACAGCAAAGUGUAAGUGAAUAAACAUAGUUUCGCAGUUUUGUCGCUGACUGUAAAUAUUAAGUUUAUGCUUUAAACUGUUUAAACAUAAAUCUGUGUGAUCAUUAGAAUGAUGUAUAUCUUUGAUAUUAAUGAUGUUUAAUAUUCUUUUCAAAAUAUAAAUUAUGUUGUGCUUAUCAUCAGACUUGCUGCAAAUGGGACGUACAGCUCUGAUGGAACCCAAAGGUACAUGAUAAAAAGUUUUUAAGUAACACACAAGAGAGAUAUUGACAUUAUGGUCAUAGAUUAUAAGGAAAGAUAUUACUUUUUCAUUGUUAGGAUUUUGACAAGGCUCGGUGCUCAUUUGGGAAGUGAAAAGUUUCGAAGGUCUCUCUGUUCAAGUCAAGAAGUGAAAGCUAUUGAACUAUGUAUGUAAUAGCUUGUAUUGUUUACUUUGGGUCCUAUGCUCCUUCGACUUUAAAAUGCCUCAUUUGGGUCUAAUGUCACUUCUUUUUAUUCCAACAAUCAAUAUCGUUCUUGCGUUUUGUUGAUGUGGUAUAUGCCUAGGCUGCUACAAUGUUGUUCUUUUUACUCUAGAUACCAAGACGGAAAGCAAGAGAUGACACAAUUAUUGAACUUUCUGUAUUGAGAAAUCGGAAUUUCUGGAAAACUAUACUAGUGAAUUAUAAUCCCGGGAGCCUUUCCCCUCAAGCUCUCAAGAAAAGGCAACAAAUCGUCACUCAAAUAAAUUAGUAGCGGGUUAUUUGGGAAGCGAAAAGUUUCGUAGGUCUCUCUGCUCGAAUUGAGAAGGGAAAGUUGCUUUCAUCUUAAUACCAUAUGGUCUGAUACAUCACUAAUCUCCACUGCUCGCAAUGGAUAUAAAUUACUGCUCUUUGCGGAUUGAGACUGACACACAAUUAACUAAUCUGGCUCAUAUAUGGACACGAGUCUCCACUCAUCUAUUAUCUUUGAUUAUAUUGGACCACCUUCGACACGAACCGUCCCUGUAAAUUUUCCAUUCAAGUUUAUGUGAAUAAACAAAGCAUUUGUGUUGAGUUCGAAAGAGAUUAGGGCGUCAUGCGCUAGCUUACAAUUGCAUAUUAUAUGUUAAUAAAUCAGAUAACAAAAACUUGUACUAAAAAUCAAAAUAUUAUUAUAUGAUUUGACCAAAUGACCUACAUAUUUAAAAACUAAUAAAAAGACAUUAAAACUUGAAAGAUUUCAAAGAAAUCUUGAAGAAUUAUUUGGGAAAUUUUUCUCUAUUUUCACUGAACCAAAAUUGUACAAAGAGUUGCUUACUUAUCCAUGUAAACUAAGGACUAGAAAGUCAAUUUAAAAGGAAGUAGGUAACCAACUCUGACUAUAUACUUUACAGCUCAUCAUAUUCUAAAAUAAUCUAAAAAAUCUCUUCUUAUACAAUGUGAAUUAAUAUAAGCAACGUUGUAUAUUGAAAUGGGCUGCUGAAAUGGCAUUUGUGUGCUUCAGAUGGGAUGAAACCCAAAGAUAAAAUAUCAGCCCCAAGAGACGUGCAUUCUAGAAUAAGGCUCUCAACCCGUGUCCGAAUAAAGCUCAUCUUCUUCAUUCUUGGUACUGCCAGUCGGUGAUCAUGAGUUCCAACAAAACUGUAGAGAGUAAAGACUAUCUGAACGAUUAUAUUGUGGAUGUUAUUAUGUUCAUAGUGUGAGAAGUUGGGUUUUCUAUUUAUAGGACGUUUAGAAUAAACCAAAUAUGGAAAAUAAUUAUAUUUUUUUUUCAGAAAAAAUUCAAGCAUUUAUGUUAAUACUUUGACUUUUCUUUUAUGAAAAUAAACUUCAAAUAAGGUAAAAAAAUCAAAGCAACCAAAAACAAAGGAAAAGAGAGAGAUUACAUAGUAUCACACAUAGCAAGGCAGCAAGGCUAAUAUGACACAAACAAGACCAUAGUAGAUAAGUAUGGUGCACGUCAUGGUUUAUUUUGUAAAACUACGUAUUAAAUGAAUAUAUUUUUUAGAAUUGAUCUAAUAUUACUUGUUAUCCAUGCUACUAAAAAUAAGAAGUUCAAGUCAUCAUCAACUAAGUUUUGAGUUGGUAAGAAUCACUGAUACUACAAAUUUUCUUGAUAAAAGAGUGUUUACAACUUAUUAAACCUCAUAGGUUUGAAAGCCAUGAAUCAAAUAAGAAUAAGAAGUCUGGGACCCAAUGGCAAUAUGUAACUCGUAAGUUUUGAAAGACAUUUUAUUAGAGAGAAAUUUACGUUGUUUCUAUGUUUGUGUUUUGUUGGAUGUUUGGUGAAAAAAGUAGAUCAUCUCCUAUUGCAUUCUUUAGUUGGUUUAUAACACAAUGAGUGAUUCAACAUCUAUUUAUAUUUUUGAUUUAGAAAUAUUAUUAUACACUUGUAGAUAAAACUUCCAACAACAUAGAAAUAUGUUAAAUCUGAUUUACUUAUGCAACAAAUAUUAUAUCUUACGGGUAGAACGAACAAGGAACAUGAAAACUAAAUGUUUUUGUUAUCGGGUUGACUAAACAGGAUACAGAAAAAUCAUGUCUUUGAAUUGCAUAACAAAGAGUGUACUGAUAUUUUAUACUUUAUAAUAUCAUCACACGAAUUUUAUACUGAAGAUGUGUGCCUUUUUGUUGUCAAUUUUUUUGCAGUGAUACAAAAGCAGAUAGUGAAGACAGGUCAAAGAUUCUACUUUGAUGAAUUCUUUUUCAAUUCUUCAUCAAGAGACGAUUUAGAGUUUUUGGUAAAACUUUCUCUUUCACCAAGAGUCUCCAGCAAAAUGGGCAAUAAUUAGUUUAUCAGGAGUUCAAGUAUAUCUCGAAUUGGUUAUGGGUUAUUGCAAGUGCUUUUGGUUUUUACGUUUCUUUUCUAAUUUUUGUGGUGUUUGAAACAGAUCAAAAAAUAUUUUUAAACACUUAUUUUUAGACCCAAAAGAAGUAUAAAAAUAAGCUAAAGGCCAAAGGUAGGUAUUCCCAACUUAUGAGUUUAGCUUUUAGCUUAUAAGAUACUUUUAAAAAGUUAAUCCAAACACCCUCUUAAACUUUUAAAUUAAUUUUAAUUAAUAAGAUGUUAGCUAUUUGUUUAUAAUAUAUUAUCUUGAUAUGGUUGUAAAAACUUUAUUUAUCAAUAUGAAUAUUUGAAUUGUUUAUUUCAAAAUUCUAAAAAUAUUUUUGAUAAAAAGUAAAAUAGGUUCUCUUUCUUUAUUUUUAAUUUAAAUUUUGAGUUUUUUUCUUACAAAAAGGUACAAAAUUUAUAUAAAAUAGAAUAAAAAGGCAACUUUAAAUUAUUAUUAUUAUGUUUAUGUGUAUAUAUGUAUACCUGGACACGUUCGUUGCACGUGUAUUCCAUAUUAAUUCUUAUAAAUUCAUAUUAUUUAAAAAUAACAAACUUUUAUCUUAUACAUAAUUCAAUAACAGUUUCUUAAAUUAAAAAAAUAUCAAUAUAUAGCUAAAGAUAAAAUUCCUCAUGUUCCUAAUCUCAUAGCACCUUUGUAAAUGAUAUCUCUUCGUGUAAUUUCAUCUCCAAAUAUAUUGUUUGCCACAUUUGUAUCAUUUCUCAAUAUUUUAACAAUAAAAAAGAAAAUAAUAUAAGAAGAUACAUUUAAAGAAAGUUUAUAGAACGAAAAGGAAAGUACAUUGAAUUAAAUAUAAAAGUGAGAGAAGAAGAAUAGCAAAUUGGAUAUCAUAUCAAUUGUUCUAAUGGCUCAUAAUAGUGGUUUAAAUUCCACAAUGUCAUUAUAAGUUGUUCAAAAUUGUAAAUGAAUAAAAUUAUUAAUGAUAAAAAUAGUGUGGUAGAGAAAGAAAUCAAGUGUGUGAGGCAUCUGAAAAUAAGUAAAUUCAUUAUUUAGAGCCAAUAUAUCUUAUAUCAUACUCUUUCAAAUAUGAUUUCUUUUUACACCUUUAAAAUUACUUAUUUUCUCUUUUUUCAUUUUCUUCUCUUCUGAAGUUGAUUUGCAAUCAAUCUCUGACGGGCAAUAUCCAUCUUUGUAAGUUGACUCCUAAAUAGUAACAGUGAAGAAAUGUAUUUUUCUCCAUGCCUUGAGAAUUCUUUUUUCUUUUCUCCCCAAUUAUUUUCUUUCACAAUCCACAAACUUUAGAUUUUGUAUGCAACUUAUAAUUGUUGUGAGCUUUUAUAAGGUGUAGUAAAAAUGAGAAGUCUAUACUUAAGUAUUACUUAUUAACAAUGGAAUCUCAAAGGAUCAAAACAGAUCAUAAUUACAACAUGCACUAAUUAUUUGGCAGAUGAAACAAUUCUUCCGAUUAUUACUCAAUUCAAUGCAAGUGAUCAGAUUAUAUUUAACAUAAAGCUUUGUUAUUAAUUUCAAGUUCUUCAAAUUCAUUAUGUUUUUAUCAUCUAAUGUUUAAUUAAUUAAAUAAUUUAUAACAUUUUAAUUUAGAAUAGGGGUAAAAUGGUAACCAAGCAUUUAUAUAUAUAUAAAAUAAAUCAACGAAGCAAUGUCGAAGGACACGCAUAUAGGGUGUGUCCGCUCCUGAUUAAGUUAAGGUUUUAUAUCUUUAUGAAUAUUAAAUUAUCUUCCAAAUUCUUUUUUUUUGGGGGGGGAGAAGGGGUCUACCGCAUAUGGCAAUUUAGAUCUCUAAAAUCCGCACCAAGAAGGGAAAAUCGUUGAAUCUUUUAAUUUGCUAGUAUUGUUCGCUUUGUGCUAGGCGCACACAAUUUUAAAAUAUUAUAUAAGAGUGAAAAUUAUUUUCGCUUUCCAACUUUGCUGUAAAAAUUGAACUCCUUUUCAAUUUUAAACAACUAGUAUACGUGCUCGUGUGUUGCGCAGUUAGUUGAUAAAUGCAAUUGUAAAUAUUAAUUUAUUGACAAUUUUAAAGUUUAACUUAUUAUUAAAUAAUAUUAUCAAAUAAAUGCUUCACAUUAAAUAUGUAUACAUAAUACCUUUAACAAUAUAUCAAAAUAAAAAAUAAAAAAUAAAGAUUCAAAUCCAGGGAAUUAAACACCAAUCAUCCUACAAAUAAAACUUCAAAUCAUUGAAAGUUAUAAAUAAAAAAAAGGAAAAAUAAUCAUCAAAAACUAAUGGCUUGCAAUAAUUAUUGAUAAGAGAUUUUAAUGCUUAAAAAGUUGCUAUAUCUAUUUAUCAAAUUUCACUGAUAGUGUUAAUUCUAAGUAUGAAAUUGAUUAUAGUGGCUUUGUCUCAACAACUACAAAGUCACAUCCAAAGAAGAAGGAAAAAAGUUAUAUUGUCAAAAUUUUUUAUGCAUAAAUAGAAAUAGAAAACAAAUAAAUUAUUUUACACUUUUGAUAAUAAGUGUUUCCUAAUUAUCUUUAUGUAAAUAUUUCAUUAACAUAUUCAUUUAUAUAAAAUUUAUAAAAGAGACUUCUUUUAAUACUAAUAAACAUAAACAAAUAUUAAUUAAUAAGCAUAAACAAAUAUCAACUAUUAAUAAAUAACUAAAUGUGUAUGAAUCUUUUUUAGUAAUUUGUAUAUUUAGUUCGUGAUUUAUAUUUUUUGAUUAGUUAAAAGAUCAACUGAUAAAAUAAAGUAUUUAAAUACUUAUGAUAAUAUGGUUAAACAUGAGGUAUGUAUCAAAAAAAAUAAUCUUAAAACAUAUUUAAUUUGACGUAAUUAUUUAAAAUAAUCAUAAUUAUUUAUUUCAUGAUUUUUUAUUUUUUAUUUAUUUAAAAUAAAUACUGAAAAAUAAAAUGUUAUUAACACAAAUUUUUAUUGAUUAUAGGACUGUGUAGUAAUGUAUUGGUUAUGGGGAGUUAUAAAAAUAUUUUUUUGUCUUUUCAUUAACGUAUUCAUUUAUAUAAAAUUUACAAAGAGACUCCUUUUAAAACUAAUAAGCAUAAACACAUUUUAAUUUAAUAGCAUAAAUUUAUUAUAAUUAAGUAAUUUAAUGUGGUGAGAAUGCAUGCUAAUUAGUACUAUGUGUUAAGAAUUUAUGUGUAAAAUACAUAUCGUGUAUUAUUUUUAGCUCCCAAUAUUAAACAGAACUUUAUUUCAUUCGAUUUGGACUCGGAACAUCUAAAACAAAUUAAGUUUUUUAUUUAUCUUUUUUUUCCAGAGAACUCAUUUUAUUGUUUCAUCAAUGACUUGAAUUCAUGUUUUUAGUGGAGGUACAGAGUGUUUAUCAACUGAGAUAAAGUAUCUAAAUUUUAACUAGUUUUAGAUAAGUAAAUUUUACCGCAAAAAAAAUCAAAUAUUUCAUAUCUGAAUACACAAUCAAAAUUAAAAGAUUUGACCUUUCAAAUUUUUUUUGUGUCUCGUAAACUAAAAAAACGAAUAAUAUUUAAGUAGUUAUGGUUCCUCAUGAAUAAAUUAUAUACGGAGUUCAAUAUAUUUCAUAAACGACACAUUUCAUUACAAUAACAACAUAUUCUAUAUAGUUCUACGUAUAAAAUGUGAUUUGAAAAUAAUAAAAUGUACGUAGACCUUACUCUGCUACGGAGGUAGAGAGGUAACGACACAAUUGAUCAUCAUUGCUUAGAAAAACUUACCUAAUUAACAUUUAAAAAUUAUUAUAGUUAACUAAUUAAUUGUCCUCUCAUCUGUUCCAAUUGACUGGACAGAUUUUAGUUAUAAUAUGUUAGUGAAAAAUUACAAAAUUACAAGAUUACAAUUGAAAAUAAAAAUGAAGAAAUAAAUCUCUUCAGAUUGAGGCGUGGAUAUGUCGCUCUCUUUAAGGAGAUUCAAGCCCACUUAAGCAAAUGUUUUUCAUCGGUCCAACAGUAGUCCUCUUUACUUGUCCCCUCCAGGAUACAACAGCCUAAUCACAAAGUGUAACUCAACAAAUUUUGGACAAGAGUUGAGUUCAAACCUCCACAAAAAGAACACCUUCCUUCAACUAAUAAAAACUCUCUUUUUGGACAAACUUUAUGCACUAUGAUCUAUAUUUUUCUUGUGUGUCAACCAAACAAAGACCACCACUAUUUAUAGUUGCGGAUGUCUUCCUAGCAAUGAAUAGGAAGAUAAUGGGUAGUAAAUAAUGAAGAUAAAUGGUAUUAGAAAUUACAUAUGUUAUAAGGUAUAAUGGAGAAAUAAAGAAUGAGAUAACAAAGAUUGAAUGAAAAAGAAUUAGUGGUCAUGGUUGACCACCUUCUGCCACUAACAGUAACCUCCAAUGGCCAACGUUUUGUAACCAUCAAAUAAAGGGUAAUAAUGCCUAAAUAACACAAGUGAGUAAUGCCUAAGGUUGCAGCAAUGAAAUAGAGAUUGCUCCAACACUUGUCAUUUGCCUCUCUCCCUAGAGAAUUUCGCUUGUCACUCUCCCAGAUCUCGCUCGUCACUCUCCCUCGCCCUCUCUCACUUUAUACAACACAAUGUAUAAAUUGCGUUUGUGUUUGUAUAAAGCGAGAGAAAACUGUAUAUAAAAAUACAAAUACAUAUAUUUUUGUCCUAUACACUAAUAAUUAUACAAAUACAGAUAUUUCCCUACCAGUUCUCUUUUGCCUUCCUCUCGUUCUCGCUUUAUACAAAUACAAUGUAUAAUUUGUGUUGUAUAAAUCGAGAGAGAGAGAUUUGAUAUACAAAUGUUUAUUUUGAUUCAAUUGUAUACAAAUUCAAAUUUUAUGCAGAUAUACAAACACAAUCAAGGAUACAUAUACAUAGUAGUUACAUAUAUGCUGGUCAACAUUUUAAUAUUAAUAUUUUAUAUAUUAAUUUGUUAAAAGUUUGGAGUCAAAUGGUGCCUUUGCUGUCAAGUUAUCCGUUGGUGGUAAUUCAUUUGUCUUAACAAUUGGAAAUAUAUUUGGAGCAUUACUCCAUUUGGAGUAAGUGCUGAUGUUACUGACUGUUUCUCUUGCAGCAUCGUUUAGUGGCAUCUUGGCCAUAAGUUCUCCAUAUUAUUUCUCCAUUAUCUCACUCUUUAUUCCUCCAUUAUACCUUGUAACAUAUGUAACUCGUAAGAUCACUAUCUUCACUAUUUACUACACCAUUAUCUUCCUAUUCAUGGCUAGGAAGACUUCUUCUAGUAUAAAUAGUGGUGGUCUUCAUUUGGUUUGGGAGAUACAAUACACACAAGAAAAAUAUAGAAUGCAUAAGUUUGUCAAAAAGAUAGUUCUUAUUAGUUGGAGGGAGGUGUUCUUUUUUGUGGAGCUUUGGACUCAACUCUUGUCCAGAGUUGUUGAGUUAUACUUUGUGAAGGCUGUUGUAUCCUGGAGGGGACAAGUCAAGAAGAAGUACUGCUGGACCGGUGAAAACAUUUGCUGCAGUGGGCUUGAAUCUCCUUAAAGAGAGCGAGAUAUCCGCGCCUCAGCCUGAAGAGAUUUAUUUUCUUCAUUUUAUUUUUCAAUUGUAAUCUUGUAUUUUUGUUAUCUUGUAAGUUUUCACUAACAAUUUUAAGGAGAUUCAAAAUGGCUACAAUUGAAAAAAAUGCGGAUGUCAAGAUGGGAGACCUUAACAAGCCAUUUCGGUUCAAUGGUAACCAUUUUAAGAGAUGGAAGGGUAAAGUACUUUUCUACUUGAGUCUUCUCAAUGUUUCUUAUGUGUUAACUGAGAAGAAUCCUAAUAAAAUAGACAUCACCUUUAUGAAUGAUGAUGAAACUAUUUCUCAUCUAGAGAAAGUGGAAAAGUACGAUGGUGAUUCCUAUAAGUGUCGGUAUUAUAUUCUUAAUUGUCUAUCUGAUAAUUUUUAUGAUUAUUAUGAUAGAACUUACUCUAGUGCAAAGAAAAUUUGGAAAGCAUUGCAGAGUAAGUAUGAUACCGAAGAGGCUGGAACGAAAAAAUAUGCAGCUAGUCGAUUUUUUCGUUUCCAAAUGAUGGACAACAAAUCAGUGGUAGACCAAGCGCAAGACUUUAUAAUGAUUGUUGGAGAGCUUAGGUCCGAGGAGGUUAAAAUUAGAGAUAACCUUAUUGUUUGUGGCAUAGUGGAUAAACUUCCACCUUCUUGGAAGGAAUUUCAAAAAACUAUGCUCCACAAACAAAAGGAAACCUCUCUUGAAACCUUGAUAAUGAAAAUCCGCAUGGAAGAAGAGGCAAGAGGCCAAGAUGCACUUUUACAAACAGAAGAGAACAACAUCACAACGAAGGUAAAUUUAAUUACUUCAAAUAAUGCUACUCCUGAAUCUCACAAAAAUACUUCUUUGAAGCCUAAGAAGAAAAAAUUCAAGAAAAAUAAUGGUAGACCUCCCAAGAAAAAUAAUGGUGAAAAUAACCAAGCACAAAAUCAACAAGUUCAAGACAAAGGACCGUGCUUUGUUUGUGGCAAGAGUGGGCAUAUUGCUCGAUUUUGCAGAUUCCAAAAAUGUGGUCCNNNNNNNNNNNNNNNNNNNNNNNNNNNNNNNNNNNNNNNNNNNNNNNNNNNNNNNNNNNNNNNNNNNNNNNNNNNNNNNNNNNNNNNNNNNNNNNNNNNNNNNNNNNNNNNNNNNNNNNNNNNNNNNNNNNNNNNNNNNNNNNNNNNNNNNNNNNNNNNNNNNNNNNNNNNNNNNNNNNNNNNNNNNNNNNNNNNNNNNNNNNNNNNNNNNNNNNNNNNNNNNNNNNNNNNNNNNNNNNNNNNNNNNNNNNNNNNNNNNNNNNNNNNNNNNNNNNNNNNNNNNNNNNNNNNNNNNNNNNNNNNNNNNNNNNNNNNNNNNNNNNNNNNNNNNNNNNNNNNNNNNNNNNNNNNNNNNNNNNNNNNNNNNNNNNNNNNNNNNNNNNNNNNNNNGUCUAAUCAAUAUGUNNNNNNNNNNNNNNNNNNNNNNNNNNNNNNNNNNNNNNNNNNNNNNNNNNNNNNNNNNNNNNNNNNNNNNNNNNNNNNNNNNNNNNNNNNNNNNNNNNNNNNNNNNNNNNNNNNNNNNNNNNNNNNNNNNNNNNNNNNNNNNNNNNNNNNNNNNNNNNNNNNNNNNNNNNNNNNNNNNNNNNNNNNNNNNNNNNNNNNNNNNNNNNNNNNNNNNNNNNNNNNNNNNNNNNNNNNNNNNNNNNNNNNNNNNNAGUUUUAGGGUUAAUCCCAAUGAUUAAAAUACAUUUUGAAAUGUGUGAGGCUUGUAGUAAAGCCAAAAUCACUAAAAGGCCUCAUUUUCAAGUUGAAAGAAAAACUGAUUUGUUAGAUUUAGUUCAUACUGAUAUUUGUGAACUUGGUGGAAUUUUAACUCGUGGAGGUAAUAGAUAUUUUAUCACUUUCAUUGAUGAUUUUUCUAAGUUUACAUAUGUUUACUUGAUGAAAAAUAAAAGUGAUACUUUUGAAAAUUUCAAAACUAUCUUCAUGCGGUUGAAAAUCAGUUUGGAAGAAAAAUAAAAAGAAUUAGAAGUGAUAGAGGCCGUGAAUAUGAGUCAAAUGAGUUUAAUUCUUUUGUUAGAUCAUUGGGAAUAAUUCAUGAAACUACUCCUCCUUACUCUCCUUCAUCUAAUGGAGUAGCGGAAAGGAAAAAUAGAACUUUGGUUGCCAUGCUUAUUGAGUCACAUGCACCUUUAAAUUUUUGGGGUGAAGCUAUUUUAACUGCUUGUUAUGCGUUGAAUCGUGUGCCUCAUAAAAAGUCUAAAUUGACACCUUUUGAAUUUUGGAAAGGUUACAAGCCAAGUUUGGGAUAUCUAUUAACGCAAUUUAAAUUAAAAUUCUAUUCAACUGUCUCCAAAAGCAUCACGUCUUGUUUACACUUGAAAUUAAAAAAUUACCUUAUAAGUUGUUAAAAAGAAAAUUUUCGUAGUAGAUUUUCAUGUGAGAGAUCAAACACUUAAACAUCAAUUAAAGAAUAUGAUGCAAAAAAUCAAGAAACUAAAUGGAAAGAGCUUUGAUCUUCAAGGGGAUUAAAACUUGUGAAGAAGAGUCCCUAUUACAUUACAACAUCAAUUUGACAUCAAAGUCCUAUAUUUCUUAUUAACAAUUUGCAUUAAGCCUAGUGUUUUAAUGAAGGACAAAAAGUUCAAUCAACAUUUCUAGAAAAGGGUCUUAUAGUAUAAUUGAUUGAUAGAUACUAGAAUUGCUAAUGUGCUUCUUCAAGGAACUCUGUCACUUAACAUUGAGCUCCAAUGAACAUUGAGAUGUUAUCCGCGAGUGUGUUGCACACAUGUACGUAUUUGGCUGAAUUUUCCAAAAAUGUAAAAAUAGCACAGCUGAACCAUGUAUUGAUGUUUAAUUAAAUGAUACAAGUCUUUGGUCACUAAAUGGUCCCCGUUUUUUACAACCACCAAUUGAGAAAGCAAUGAAUAGGCACUAAUUACAACUUCUUGUUUGCAAAUUUACUAGCAAAAGAGAGAGAAAUCAGUGAUCAUUCUUGUUUGCAAAUUACUCUUAGCUUUAACAGGUAAAGUGAAAUUGUUAGUAAUUUAACAUACAAACAUUCAUCUCCUGAAAUUUCUUAAAAUCAUUUUGUGUUUUGAUUUGCAGAUUUCAGUAAAAUGGAGGUUGGCUUAGCAGUUGGUGGUGCAUUUAUCUCUUCAGCUUUGAAUGUUCUCUUUGAUAGGAUUACUCAUCUGACCUAAGCAAGAGGGUGCUGCAUAACAUACUGCCAAGACUAACAUCCUUAAGGGCAUUAUCAUUGUCAGGUUAUUACAUUGAGGAGUUGCCAGAUGACUUGUUUAUCAAAUUAAAGCUCCUCAGAUUUUUGGACCUUUCUCAGACAUGUAUUGAAAAGUUGCCAGAUUCCGUUUGUGCAUUGUAUAAAUUGGAGACACUUCUCUUGUCAUUUUGUACCUCUCUUGAAGAGUUACCGCUGCAGAUGGAAAAGUUGAUUAACUUGCGUCAUCUUGACAUAAGCAACACUUGGGUCUUGAACAUGCUGCUACAUCUGAGCAAGUUGAAAUGCCUCCAAGUGCUAGUGGGAGCCAAGUUUCUUGUAGGUGGUUUGAGAAUGGAAGAUUUGGGUGAAGUAGAGAACUUGUAUGGAUCUCUAUCAGUUUUAGAGUUGCAAAACGUGGUUGAAAGAUGUGAAGCUGUGAAGGCAAAGAUAAGGGAGAAGAAUCAUGUUGAGCAGUUAUCAUUGGAGUGGAGUGAAAUUAGUAGUGCUGACAAUUCACAAACAGAAAGAGACAUUCUUGAUGAGCUACGCCCACAUGAAAACAUAAAAGAAGUCGAAAUCACCGGAUAUAGAGGAACAAAAUUUCCAAAUUGUCUAGCUCAUCAUUCGUUUCUUAAGCUAGUAGAAUUGUCUCUUAGCAACUGCAAGGACUGUGAUUCCUUGCCAGCACUAGGAGAACUUCCUUGUUUGAAAUUCCUUUCGAUUAGAGGGAUGCAUGGAAUAACAGAGGUGACACAAGAAUUCUAUGGCAGUUCAUCCUCCAAAAAGCCUUUUAACUGUCUUGAGAAGCUUGAAUUUGAAGAUAUGCCGGAGUGGAAGCAAUGGCACGUACUAGGAAGUGAGGAGUUCCCUAUACUUGAGAAGCUUUCAUUUAGAAAUUGUCCGAAGUUGAUGGGGAAGUUGCCUGAAAAUCUUUCUUCUCUGACAGAAUUGAGAAUUUCAAAGACGCCUCUUUUUGACGAGGCUGGACUGUUUGCAUCCCAACUUCAGGCUGACAGAAUCGUUGUAUUAUCUAUUGAGUAUUGUAACUCUGUUACCUCCUUACCUUUUAGGAUACUGCCCAGUUCCUUCAAGAGAAUAUGGAUAUCUCACUGCCAGAAAUUGAUAUUGGAGGAGUCAGUUGGUUAUUGUAACAUGUUUCUCGAGGAAUUGACACUGCAAUUUACAACAACUUCAGAUCAAGAAAUGCACAAAACUGGUGAAUGGCCGAAAGGAGUGGUGUUUACAGACACUCCCCUGUCUCAGAGAGUUAAGCAUCUACCAUGAUGGCGGUGACGAAGAUAUCCAACAUUGGGAGUUGCCUUCCUCUAUUCAGAGACUUACCAUAGACAAUCUGAAAACAUUAAGCAGCCAACAUCUCAAAAGUCUCACCUCUCUUCAACAUCUACGUAUUACUAAUUUACCUCAAAUUCAGUCACUGUUGGAAGAAGGCCGGCUUCCCUCCUCUCUUUGUGCGCUAAGUUUAGAUUACCAUCAUGAGCUCCAUUCACUAAGUCUUUCGCACCUCACUUCUCUUCGACGUCUACACAUCACUGCUUGCCCUAAUCUCCAAUCACUUUCCGAAUCAGCACUGCCCUCCUCCCUCUCUCAGCUGAUCAUCUUUGAUUGCCCUGAUCUCCAAUCACUUCCAGUAAAAGGGAUGCCCUCUUCCCUCUCUUAUCUAUCUAUUUCCAACUGUCCAUUGCUCAAACCACUCCUAGAAUUUGACAAGGGGGAAUACUAGCCAAAUAUUGCUCAAAUUCCCAUCAUAAAUAUCCAUGGGAAACACCUGUAAACAAAUGAUGCUUUGACAAAUGUAAGUUAUUCUUUUCCCUCAGAAGCUUUUUAUUUUUGUUUACUUCACUUUGUUUUUUUGCUAAUUCUUUUCUUUUUUUUUCUAUCUUGCCGAGCAGUGUGGAGCAUCUAUUGCUCAAACAACGGCUACUGACCAAAAAUUGCUCAUGCUUCCACCAUAAAUGCUGAUUGGGAGAACCUGUAAUAAUUAAAACGAGUGGUGCUCCUACGUACAGAUUUGUAAGUUAUACUAUUUCCUUAGUAUCAUUUGAUUUUUUGUUACUCCUCUUUGCUCGUCUGUUAAAUAUUUUGGACCAGUGUGUAGAAUCUAUUACCUCUGUGAAGUCGAGGAAAUAUCUAUAGAUCAGGAUAAAAUCUUUAUAUUUGCAUUGAGACAUUGUGAAAGAAAUCUAGUAUAGGUAGGAAUUGAGAUAAUUUGCUCCAGAAAGUUGGUUGCUUAAUAUAUGUCAGCAUGAUGUUUAUAACAAUUCAUAUAUUCUUGUGACAAAUCUCACUUUCCAUCUUAGUUGACUCUUAAGACUCCCUUUUCUUGUCUGUUAACCUAUGUUCCGUCUCAAAUCUUGCAGACUGGAAUAUUAUUUGCCAUCAUGAAAGUUGUUUCGCAUUUUUCAUUUCUUCUACAAAGAUAAAUGGGUCCAAGAAAUGCAACCUCACUUUCUCAAUCAGGAAACCAAGACCUUGAUAAGAGUUGCAUCAAUCUUGAAAUUUAAAGAAAUUGAGAACGACUUUGAAUGCCUACUUCCAUUAUUUACGCCAUGUUGUACCACAAUAAUUUCAAGUUUGAUGCGACUACAUAAUUACAUCAGUUUUUUUUUUUUUGGUAAUCAAAGAUCCAGAAUAUUGCAUCAGUUUUUUGGUCUUGAUAUUCAGAGAACUUUGGAGAUUAUGAAGUUUCCUUUGAGAACUUUGGAGAUUAUGAGUAAUAGUUUACACUGUCAUAAAUCAGCGAAAUAAAUUUACUUCGUUGGCACUCUCAUCAGUCAUCAGCCAGCGAAACAAAGAAACCAACACACCCAAUCUAAACCUGAAUUUUUUACAAAAUCAACACACCCAAUCUAAACCUGAAUUUUUUCUGUUGCAUUUUAAUGAUCCGACUAAAAAUAUUUAAAAGAUAGUUACUAAGUUUUAGUUUUUUUAAUGUAUUUAUAAUGUAAAGCUCUAUUUCAUUAGUUGAAAGCUGCAGAAGAUAAUGUUUUAAUGUCAAGUGCAAACACUUGGAGUUUUCGUUUGCCAAAUGAGACUCAUAUAAUAUGAGUUUUCUUAAUUAAGUAUUCAUAUUUUUGUAUUUCUAAUUAUGCAGUAAAAUCAAGGUGUUCAUUUAGUUCUCACUUUAAUUUAAGGUUGAAAAUGAUGAAUUUGAUUGGGGAAAUAGUGAAACAUUUUGAUUAUUCAUUUGCAAUAAAAGGAAAGAUACUUGAAGGUUUCUUUUUGUUAGAUUUUCUUCGUGGAAUUUGCUUAUGUUAGCUUUUUGGAGUUGUUCAGAAAUACCAUUAGAUCGGUUGAAGGCUAAUUGGAUAUAAUUGUCUUCAUGACGUGUUUGCUAAGUUUCUGUCGCCUAAUUCAGAUUCCACUGGAUUAGUUUCUACCCAAGAUUAUGCAUAUAUUUGGUGUAAGGUUGAAAAGUAAAAACCUCAAAUGAUAUAUGUAUUUUCUUUUUUAAAAAUACAAAGUUGCGAUGAAGAUUGAAAAUUUUGAUGGUAUUAAUUUUUAUAUGGAUCACCAUUGAGAACUUUGCCUGAGGUAUUAAUCUCCAUUUUCCCUAUUUAUAAAUGUUUCCUGUAGCUCCUAAUUGUGAUGCUUCAUUUACACAUUUUUUACAUUAUAUCUUAUUACAGGGAUAAAGUCUGUCAAGAGUCAAUUAGAUGUUACAGACUUGCAACUACUUGUUGUGCGUUAUAUAUAUAAUUGCAUAUUUCUUGGAUAUCAAGUAUUGGAUUGGUUUCUCAUUGCUUAUUGACUUAUACUCUUACGCGUUUUAAUUUCACAUCUCAAUUGCGAAAGAAAGAUAUCAUAUGUAGCUUGUGCAAAAUAUGAUGUCAUCUUACGUACUACUCUUUGUUGCAAUUUACCGUCCAGAUAACAUGACAGUUAAUUUUGUGGAAUUCUCCUUUGCUUGUCCUAUUAGCAUGAUUUGGUUGUUGAUCCAUUGUUGCUGUAGGAUUGUUCGAUCUUGUCUUUGUUGUUCUUAAACUUCGGUCAACAAAAAUCAUGAAUGGUCAGAAUAAUGCAAUUGAUUCGCAUCAGAGAUGAAUCUAAGGCUAAUAAACGGAUAGACGUAUCAUGAUGUAUUAUGACUGUUAGAGGGUGAACGAUUGAGAAGCCUUCAGUUCUUGAUUAAGCCUUCACAUUGCUUUGUUCUUCUAGCUUCUUCAGUAUAAAAAAAAUUGCUUGUGAGCCAUAUCUUGAAUUUGACACUUCUUCACCUGGCAGUAAGCUUAGAAAUCACUUUUUAUAGUCAAAUAGAACUAUAAAUAUAGACAGUGUAUGGUCUGUAAUAGAUCUACUUGUUUAUACUCAUCAUUAUGUCGAAGGGUUGUAAAGAAGAAGAUAUGAUACAGAACUUCAGAGAUCUUUCUCUAGUAGUCUGUAGUUUAUACGAUUAUCUUAAUGGAAGUCCCAAUUGACUGCUGCAUUCUAACCCUACCAUUGGUAGCCUAACUUAUACUUCAUAUCUUUAUCUUUCCUGUUAAAGAUACUUAUAAUUAACACUUGCAUUAUUUUUUACAACCGAGCUAGAAUUUUAGCUAUUUGUGUUAAAAUUGUGUAUUUGCAUUAAGAAAUCUACUUAUUGCUCAGAACCAAUUACUUUCUUUUUUUUGUAAAAUUCAGAAUUCAUAAACUCAAAUGCAAGUUUCACAAAUGAAAAGUCAUGUGCCUUUUAACUUGGAUUUUGGAGCCUACAAAAUAUGUGGAAAAUCCUGAAUAAAUGGGUCAGUGGAAUAAUAUGUGAGUUGUAAACCCAAAGAAGAUCAAAUGAAAUAUCCCAAUCUUGUAUUCCCAAGAAAUUGGAGAGAUUUUGUAAUGAAAGAAGAAAAUUGUGAAGCGGCAAUUAGGAAAGAAGAGAGAGUACACAUUCAGUGAACCAAAAGAGUGACAACAAAAGUCUUUUUCUAAGAACAUUCCCUUUUUGUAGAUUGUUUCCUAUAUUUCUUAUCCAAAUACAGUGUAUGCACAAGAGUGUAGCUAAAGCAAUACUGAACUAGUCACGUAUCAGGAUUUCUGAAGCAAUACAGCAUUCAAUUGUUGUCUCAGUUAGAUUGCUCCUUUUUUACAAAUGUAACCGUAGGUUUUCCAAAAUGAUAGCUUGAGUCCCUUUUCAACAAUCAUGUAAUGCUAAUUUUUUCUGUUGUUUUGCAUUUUCGUCUUUGCUAUUCGUAAGCCUGGGAUAAACUUUUGUCAUCUGGAAUUUGAAAAGUUAUGUUUUACUCCUUAUGAUAUGCAGAUAUGUAGUUGCAGAGAUAAAGCAUAUGACAAUCUGGCUCGGAAAGAACAGUUUGACAUCCAAGACAGUGAAGAGCUUAAUAGAAUGAAGGAAGAAAAUGUCAAUCUGCAAGAAAAGCUGAAUAAUACAGGUAUUAUUAAUUGAUAUUCCAGACGGUACAAAUUUGUAAAAUAUAAAAAAUCGCUUGUGAGCCAUAUAUGAUAUAUUGAAUUUUAAACUUCUUCACUUGCAAUAAUCACUUUCUUAGUUAAAUAAAACAAUAGUAUUUCAUUUCUUUUCUAGAGGAAUCAUACAUGUACAGCUAUAAACAUAGAGAUAUGUGUGCUGGUCUGUAAUUGCAAUACGUGGAUUGGCCAAGAAUUCUAAAAAUUCUUUUUAAUUGCUUUCAGUAAGGAGGUUGUGAUUUCCAAGUCGUACAGCUGUCUACUGUGGCUUCCUUGAGAUGAAACAUGACUUGCUGCAAAUGGAAUGUCAAGCUCUAAUGUACCCAAAGGCCGGAUGAGGACAAAACCAUGGCUGUUCACGCUUCAACUCAGUUUCCUGAGUAUACGCAUAGUUUGAUUGAUGUUGUCUUGGUGUUCCCGAACAUAAUAUCUGUGUGAUAACAGGAAGGGCUGAAGGUGGCUUUGGCGGCAAGAAAUAUGCCAGUGAGUACCCACAAGGAUUUUCGUUUAAAGCUACAGAUAAAAAAGGCCUUUUUGUUUAAAGUUGUUGCUUGGAAAUAGUUUUGCUCCUUUCAGUCUUAUGUUUUGUUUAAAAUUUUUGUAACCAAUCCUUCUUCGCGGGGGUGGGGGGAUUGAGGGGGUGACUGCAUUAUCAACCACUACAGUGAUUAGUAUAUUUCAUAAUAUUUAAGGUAUAUUCAUUGUUCAGUUAAGAGAACACAAGAGCUCAGCUUUUUAGAGGACCAUAAAUAUCUAAGGAUAAAUGAAAUGGGCAAAAAAGUUCCAUAUAUAUCUAUGUUGACCACAAAAACAAAGAAACUCUGCUCCAUCGCAUACCUUCACUUCCUAUGAACCGUCCAAAGGAAAGAUAUAUUCGAUUGAACAAAGAGCUAAGCUGCCUUUCAACGCAAAAGGCAUUAUUACACACAUAAGAGGGGAGAAAACAGGAAAAGAACUAUCAUACAAUAUGGAGAAAAAAAGCUCAAAACCAUUGUGCUCACGCAUAAGCAUGGAAAUAUGGGCUUUCAAGGUAGAAAAGUUAUGGCUGCAUGCCAACAAGCUUUAUCGGCAACUGGAUUAAACUGAACAACAAUUAAUGCCAGAGUUGUUGUCAGUGGAGUCCACAUUCCAUACAUUCUCAAGCAUGUUAAGAGUGACUCUGUGGUGGUAGUAAGAGAAUCGAAAAAUAAAUAAGAAUGUCUUGUUAUAUAAUUUCAUAUAGUAAGAUAGCAAGAAAAACUAACUUUCGAAAGAAGUGUUUUUGCCUCGAUAAUUAUCUAACAAGAGUGUCGAUGCAAAAGUAGUUUUUUUUCGUGAGAAAAUACCAGAUUAAAAAAAGUAACGUAGACGUCAGUUUAAGCUUAUAGGGCAAUUGAUGUGGGCCCACCCUCAUAUUUUCCACGUCAAUAGUCAAGAUGACAUCAUUAAUUAUUUAACUCUACACCAUACUUACUUGUAUGGAAUAUUUGUAUUAAAUAUACUCUUAUAGUAUCAUUUACUAAUGAAUAAUUUCUAAUAUAUGAUGUCAUUUAUAAAAUUUCAAAUAAAAGUAUUCCAAAGUAGAGGGCUAGAAUCAAAGGGUAGGGGUUGGGGUACAAAAAUAAAUAAAUAUAUGAUGUCAUUUAUAAAAUUUGUCUUCGCUAUUUUCAUUAAGGAAAUUGUUUUUCCUCAUUUUUAAGUGACUUAAUUUCCUGUUUCUUUUCAAGUCUUUGUUUUUUCGUUAAGUGAUAUGUUAGGCCCAAUUAAGCACUAAAAUGAGCUGUUAAAAGCAGUAGUGCAUAAAGCAAAAGUAAUGAAUCAUAUUUCUUAGUUGGUAGGUGUUGUCUUUUAUUGUUUUGUUUAUUUAUUUUGGUGGGCUGUACACUUAGGCAACCCACAUGAUUUUGUAUAUAUUUGCUCUUAGUUUAAUAAAAAUCCUGACCCAUCUGGUCUUUGAUUUAAAAAAAAAAGAAAAAGUAAUGAAUCAUAAAGCUAAAAAUACUUUUCUUUAUUGCCUCAAUUAUUUUCGAAUCUUUGUUUUUUCAGUCAAGAAAAGAGAAUUGUUUUGCUUCUUUCUUGUAGACAAAAGAGAGAAAUCAGUGAUCAUCUUGUUUGGGAAUUACUCUUAGCAUUCAACAGGUACAUAAAGAAGUUGUUAGUAAUUAAUGAUAGAAAAAUAUUUAUCUUAAAAAAUCAUUUUGUUUUGAAUUUGCAGAUUUCAGAAAUGGAGGUUGUCUUGGCAGUUGGUGGUGUAUUUCUCUCUUCAGCUUUGGAUGUUCUCAUUGAUAGGCUUGCUCCUCAGGGCGAUCUUCUCAAAAUGUUUCGGAAGCGUAAGAAUGAUGUUGAGCUCUUAAAGAAGCUGAAAUUGACUUUGCUUGGUCUUCAAGCUGUGCUAAGUGAUGCAGAGAAUAAGCAAGCAUCAAAUCAAUUUGUGAGAGAGUGGCUUAAUGAGCUUCGAGUUGCUGUAGACUCUGCUGAAAACUUGAUUGAACAAGUCAAUUAUGAAGCUUUGAAGCUUAAGGUGGAAGGUAAGCAUCAAAAUCUUGCAGAAAAAAUAUUGAAGCAUUGUAGAUUUUGCAGCCUGUGCUUGGGUGAUCAUUCUUUUCUUAACAUAAAUGAAAAGUUGGAAAAGACUAUUGAAACAUUGGAGAAUUUGCAAAAUCAAAUUAGUGACCUUGGCUUACAGAAACAUUUUGGUUCGACUAAACAAGAAACUAGAACUUCAACUUGUUUGGUUGAUGAAUCUGAUAUCUUUGGUUUACACAAGGAAAAAAAGGAUAUGAUUGACCGUUUAUUGUCUGAAGAUGCAAGUGGAGGAAACCUGACUGUAGUUCCUAUUGUUGGAAUGGGCGGCACGGGUAAGACAACACUAGCUAAAGUUGUUUACAAUGAUGAGAAGGUGAAGAACCAUUUUGGUUUGAAAGCUUGGUAUUGUGUUUCUGAGCCAUAUGAUGCUUUGAGAAUAACGAAAGGGUUACUUCAAGGAAUUGGCUCAUUUGACUCGAAGGAUGACGGCAAUGUUAAUCAGCUACAGGUCAAAUUGAAGGAAAGCCUGAAGGGAAAGAAGUUUCUUGUUGUCCUUGAUGAUGUGUGGAAUGAUACCUAUAGUGAGUGGGAUAACCUGAGAAAUGUUUUUGUACAAGGAGUUAUGGGAAGUAAGAUCAUUGUAACAACACGUAAGGAGAGUGUUGCUCAGAUGAUGUGUGCUGAUCGUUGCGCAAUCACCAUGGGGACUCUGUCUAGUGAAGACUCUUGGGCUUUAUUCAAACGACAUUCACUAGAAAAUAGGGAUCAUCCAGAACUUGAAGAGGUUGGGAAAAAAAUUGCAGAUAAGUGCAAAGGGUUGCCUUUAGCUCUAAAGGCACUUGCUGGUGUUUUACGCGGCAAAUCAGAGGUAGAUGAGUGGAGAAACAUUUUAAGAAGUGAAAUAUGGGACCAGCGUUGUUGGAAUGGUAUAUUACCAGCAUUGAUGUUGAGCUACAAUGAUCUUCCUGCACAUUUGAAGCGAUGCUUUGCUUUUUGUGCAAUAUAUCCCAAAGAUUAUCAAUUCUGCAAAGACAAACUUAUUUACCUGUGGAUUGCUAAUGGUCUUGUAAAGCAGUUUUGUUCAGGUAACAAAUACUUUGACGAGUUGAGAUCAAGAUCAUUGUUUGAGAGGGACCCAGAGUCUGAAUGGGAAUCAGAGAGAUUCUUAAUGCAUGAUCUUAUAAAUGAUUUGGCCCAAACUGCAUCUUCAAAACUUUGUAUUAGGUUGGAAGAGACCGAAGGAUCUGAUGAUAUGUUGGAACAAUGUCAGCACAUGUCCUAUUCCAUGGGACAAGAAGGUGAAUUUGAGAAAUUGAUACCACUCUCCAAAUCAGAGCAGCUGAGGACAUUGCUUCCAACCAAUAUCAGUAACUUUUCUGGGCUAAGCAAGAGGGUGCUACAUAACAUACUUCCAAGACUAACAUCCUUAAGGGCAUUAUCAUUGUCAGGUUAUAGGAUUACGGAGUUGCCAAAUGACUUGUUUAUCAAAUUAAAGCUCCUCAGAUUUUUGGACCUUUCUGAGACACAGAUUGAAAAGUUGCCAGAUUCCAUUUGUGUCUUGUAUAACUUGGAAACCCUUCUCCUGUCAUCUUGUGAAAAUCUUGAGGAGCUACCGCUGAAGAUGGAGAAGUUGAUCAACUUGCGUCACCUCGACAUAAGCAACACUUCUCGCUUGAAGAUGCUGCUACAUCUGAGCAUGUUGAAAAACCUCCAAGUCCUACUGGGAGCCAAGUUUCUUAUAGGUGGUAGCGGUGGUUUGAGAAUGGAAGAUUUGGGUGAAGUACAUAACUUGUAUGGAUCUCUAUCAGUUUUAGAGUUGCAAACUGUAGUUGAUAGAAGGGAAGCUCUGAAGGCAAAUAUAAAGGAAAAGGAACAUGUUGACAAGUUAUCAUUGGAGUGUAGUGAAGGUAGUUUUGCUUACGAUUCUCAAACUGAAAGAGAGAUACUUGAGGAGCUACGCCCAUACACAAACAUAAAAAAUGUCGAAAUCACCGGAUAUAGAGGGACCAAAUUUUCAAAUUGGCUGGCUGAUCCUUCGUUUCUUCAGCUAGUAGAAUUGUAUCUUAGCAACUGCAAGGACUGUGAUUCUUUGCCAGCACUAGGACAGCUUCCUUCUUUGAAAUUCCUUGACAUUAGAGGGAUGCAUGGAAUAACAGAGGUGACGGAAGAGUUCUAUGGAAGUUCAUCCUCCAAAAAGCCUUUUAACGCUCUUGAGAAGCUUGAAUUUGAAGAUAUGCCGGAGUGGAAGCAAUGGCACGUACUAGGAAGUGGGGAGUUCCCUAUACUUGAGUACCUUUCAAUUAGAAAAUGUCCAAAGUUGAUGGGGAAGUUGCCUGAAAAUCUAUGUUGUCUGAUAGAAUUGAGAAUUUCAGAGACACCUCUUUUUGAUGAAGCUCAACUGCUUAGAUCCCAAUUUGAGGGAAUGAAGCAGAUUGCUGAAUUAGAUAUCAAAAUUUGUAACUCUCUUACCUCCUUACCUUUUAGCAUAUUGCCCAGUUCCUUGAAGAGAAUAGCGAUAUCUCAUUGUCAGAGAUUGAAAUUGGAGGAGCCAGUUGGUUAUUGUAACAUGUUUCUGCGGAGCUUGCAACUGUAUAAUUGUGAUUGUAUAGAUGAUAUAUCACCUGAGUUGCUCCCAAGAGCACGUUCUUUGAAGGUACAUGCUUGCUAUAACCUUGCUAGGUUUUUGAUUCCUACUGCAACUGAAAGUCUCACUAUUCGGGAUUGUGAGAAUCUUGAAAUACUUUCAGUGGCAGUUGGAACCCAUGAGUCUGCCAUGACGUCUUUGCAUAUUUGGGAUUGUGAGAAGCUCAAGUGUCUGCCAGAAAUAGAUCUCUUCAAUUUACAAGUCCUUAAGAUCUAUAAUUGCAAGAAACUAGUGAACGGCCGAAAGGAGUGGUGUUUACAGAGACUCCCCUGUCUCACAGAGUUAGAGAUCAGACAUGAUGGCAGUGACGAAGAGAUCCAACAUUGGGAAUUGCCUUCCUCUAUUCAAACACUUAGAAUAGAGAAUCUGAAAACAUUAAGCAGCCAAGUUCUCAAAAGCCUCACCUCUCUUAAAUAUCUAUCUAUUGAUUGGCUUCCCUCCUCUCUUUCUCAGCUACAUUUAUGUUACUAUGAUGAGCUCCAUUCACUACAUCUUUGCCACCUCACUUCUCUUCUAAGUCUACAUUUAAAUUGUCGUAAUCUCCAAUCACUCUCUGAAUCAACACUGCCCUCCUCCCUCUCUCAGCUGACCAUCUCUCAUUGCCCUAAUCUCCAAUCACUCUCUGAAUCGCAUAUAGGUGUGUCUGCUCCUGAUUAAGAUAAGGUGUUAUAUCUUUAUGAAUAUUAAAUUAUCUUCCAAAUUCUUUUUUUUUUUUGGGGGGGGGGGGGGUGGGGGGGAUCAACCGCAUAUGGCAAUUUAGAUCUCUAAAAUCCGCACCAAUUAAGAAGGGAAAAUCGUUGAAUCUUUUAAUUUGCUUGUAUUGUUCGCUUUGUGCUAGGCGCACACAAUUUUAAAAUAUUAUUUAAGAGUGAAAAUUAUUUUCGCUUUUCAACUUUGCUGUAAAAAUUAAACUCCAUUUCAAUUUUAAUAAUCGAACUCCUCCCUUUAUUCUAAUUAAUUUUUUAAAAAUACCUAUUAUACCCUUUCAUUAUCUUGUGACAAAUCUCACUCUUCAUCUUAGCUGGCUAUUACAACUCACUUUUCUUGUCUAUUAACAUAUGUUCUCUCUCAAAUCUUGUAGACUGAAAUAUCUCCACCAUAGAAGUCGAUGGAGAAUACAUUUAAUGAUUAAAGCGAAUGGUGCUCUCAACAAUGUAAGUUUUUCUUUGUCCUCAGAAGCUUUCUAUUUUUGUUUUGUUCCCUUUGCUUUCCCUUUUUUAAGAUCUUGUUGAGCAGUAUGGAGUGUCUAUUACCACUAUGAAGCCAAAAAAUCAUCUUUAGUUCGAGAUAAAUUUAAUUUUCGAUAACCACAAUAAACAAAGGUGAGAAAAUCUUUAUAUUCGUGUGGGAACACUGUAAAACGAAAUCUAGUAUAUAUUCGUGUGGGAACACUGUAAAACGAAAUCUAGUUUAUGCUUUGAACUGUUUAUACAUAAAUCUGUGUGAUCAUUAGAAUGAUGUAUAUCUUUGAUAUUAAUGACGUUUAAUAUUCUUUUCAGAAUAUAAAUUAUGUUGUGCUUAUCAUCAGACUUACUGCAAAUGGGACGUACAGCUCUGAUGGAACCCAAAGGUACGUGAUAAAAAAGUUGUUUAAAUAACACACGAGAGAUAUUGACAUUAUGGUCAUAGAUUAUAAGGAAAGAUAUUACUUUUUCAUUGUUAGGAUUUUGACAAGGCUCGGUGCUCAUUUGGGAAGUGAAAAGUUUCGAAGGUCUCUCUGUUCAAGUCAAGAAGUGAAAGCUAUUGAACUAUGUAUGUAAUAGCUUGUAUUGUUUACUUUGGGUCCUAUGCUCCUUCGACUUUAAAAUGCCUCAUUUGGGUCUAAUGUCACUUCUUUUUAUUCCAACAAUCAAUAUCGUUCUUGUGUUUUGUUUGAUGUGGUAUAUGCCCUAGGAUGCUACAAUGUUGUUCUUUUUACUCUAGAUACCAAGACGGAAAGCAAGAGACGACACAAUUAUUGAACUUUCUGUAUUGAGAAAUCUGAAUUUCUGGACGCAAAUGGUUAGAGAAAACUGUAAAUGCAAUGUAAAAUGCAUAAGAAUCAGGGGAGAUUUUGAGGAGUGAGAUUUGUUUGUGUAAUUUUGUAAUGUUGUUAUUACUAAUUAAAUGAUAUGUGUGUAUUUCAGUUCAUACUGCUUAAAAUUUCUUCAUUUGAGGAUGU
RNAcentral lists this long non-coding RNA (25568 nucleotides) under Solanum tuberosum (potato). RNAcentral describes it as "long non-coding RNA (STUB_LNC010993)". The record is from RNAcentral. Lineage: Eukaryota; Viridiplantae; Streptophyta; Magnoliopsida; Solanales; Solanaceae.